UACGUAGGGUGCAAGCGUUGUCCGGAAUUAUUGGGCGUAAAGAGCUCGUAGGCGGUCUGUCGCGUCUGCUGUGAAAACUCGGGGCUUAACCCCGGGCCUGCAGUGGGUACGGGCAGGCUAGAGUUCGGUAGGGGAGACUGGAAUUCCUGGUGUAGCGGUGAAAUGCGCAGAUAUCAGGAGGAACACCGGUGGCGAAGGCGGGUCUCUGGGCCGAUACUGACGCUGAGGAGCGAAAGCGUGGGGAGCGAACAGG
Molecule: ribosomal RNA, 253 nt
Filed under: uncultured bacterium
Lineage: Bacteria
Description: partial 16S ribosomal RNA
Rfam family: Bacterial small subunit ribosomal RNA
Source: RNAcentral